CCCUAGUAUGAAAAAUUUAAUAGGAUUAAUAUUAUAAUAAGAAAUUUAAAAUUUUUGGCGGUAAAUUAUUAUGUUAAAGGAGCUUGUUUUUAAGUAGAAAUUACUCUUUAUAUUUUAUUAAUUUUUGUUUAUAUAUCUCCGUUAUUAGGUAAGUCUUUAAAAAUUUUUAUUUAUAUUUCAGGUCAAGAUGUAGCAAUAAUUAAGAAGGAUUAGCUACAAUAAUGUAGUUUUGGAGUUUAGAAAGGAAUUAUUCAGAUGAAAUUGAAUUUAAUUGUAAUUUAAUUUAAAAUGAUUAGAUGAAAUUUAUGUAAUUUAUGUA
RNAcentral lists this ribosomal RNA (319 nucleotides) under Cynorta discreta. RNAcentral's name for it is "partial small subunit ribosomal RNA". The record is from RNAcentral. Lineage: Eukaryota; Metazoa; Arthropoda; Arachnida; Opiliones; Cosmetidae.